This is an RNA transcript of Heterocephalus glaber (naked mole-rat), 4296 nucleotides long. It is a transcript of the gene named DAZ interacting zinc finger protein 1, with no coding region annotated. The record is from RefSeq and is a predicted model, not a curated record. NCBI's taxonomy places the organism in Eukaryota, Metazoa, Chordata, Mammalia, Rodentia, Bathyergidae.
GCGGGAGGGGGGUGGGGGAUCCUGAGGCUCCCGUGGACCCGAAUCUGGGAAGGGCCGGAGCGGCGCCAGUCGACUCGCUUCGUCACGACUUGCCCAGACCAGACACGCUUCGUCUUGCACCCUGGAAGAAAGAACCGGCCCGCCUCUCGGGCUCGGCUGCUCCUCGGCCUCAGCGAGCCCCGCAGGCGCCAGCUGUGCCCCUGGGGUCUGGAUCUUGUAACGCUCCGUCCUCCUGCAGCGCCCGGCACCCGCCCAGGAGCGCGCAGCUGGGGUGCUGCGGAUACGUCGGUGAGCGAGAGAAACCACGGCCCUCGUUCCCGCUGAUCCUGCAGCCCCAGUGGAUGGAGCCCCGAGCCCACAGACGUGUCAGGAAAGAAAAAAAAAUUCCUGAUGGUUGGUCCCAGCAGGGACUCCCGGGCGGACUGAGGAAUGUGUGGACCUUCCUCAGCGCAUUGAUCUCUCUGUCGGUCACGAGUAUCCUUCAGAAGACUCCCAAAAUGAGAGGCCUGAGGUCUGCAAGUCGCUGCUAGAAAUACUUUAGUUUCUCUAGAGAAUAGAAUGCAGCCACCGUGCAAGUUUGCAAGGGCCCUGGGCGCCCGCUGACCGAACUCAGGCGCGUGCGCUCGCAGUUUGCUCCCGCUCCUGGCCAGGCACUGCCAUAGCAACGUCCUGGACGCCCAGACCUCUGGCGGCCGCAGCGGAGGGGGACCCGCCUUCUCCCGCUCGCAAGGGCGUGGUGGCGGCGUAGGCGGCGGAUUGGCUCGCAAGCAUGCCCUUCCAGAAGCACGUUUACUACCCGCUGGCCAGCUGCCCCGAGGGGCCAGAUGCCCCUGCGGCCGGCCCGGCCUCCAUGCCCGGUCACGCCUCCAGCGCGGCGUGGGGACCCCUGCCCUUCUUCCAGUUCCGGCCGCGGCUGGAGAGCGUGGACUGGCGACGGCUGAGUGCCAUCGACGUGGACAAGGUGGCGGGAGCCGUGGACGUGCUGACGCUGCAGGAGAACAUCAUGAACAUCACCUUUUGCAAACUGGAGGAUGAGAAGUGCCCGCACUGCCACUCUGGGGUGGAUCCGGUGCUGCUGAAGCUCAUCCGCCUGGCGCAGCUCACCAUCGAGUACCUGAUGCACUCGCAGGAGUUCCUCACCUCGCAGCUGCACACCCUGGAGGAGCGGCUGCGCCAGAGCCUGGGCGACUGCGAGCAGAGCAAAGAGCUGCUCGCCAAGCAGGCGGGGGAGAUGAAGCUGCUCAAGGAGGAGUGUAGGCGCAGGAAGAAGAUGAUCUCCACCCAGCAGCUGAUGAUCGAGGCCAAAGCCAGCUAUUAUCAGUGCCAUUUUUGUGACAAGGCCUUUAUGAACCGUGCUUUUCUACAAAGUCAUGUUCAACGCCGCCACCCUGAAGAUGCUCACCUUGAGUAUAAAGCAAAGGCACAGACCGACAAGCUCCAGAAGGAGGUUGACAUGCUGAAGGAUCAGCUGCAGCUGACCAGGUCUCAGUUGGAGGCUGCCCAGCAUGCCCAUGCAGUCAGAUUCUCCAAGGAAUAUGAAAUGCAGAAAACAAAAGAGGAAGACUUUCUGAAGUUAUUUGACAAGUGGAAAGAAGAAGAAAAGGAGAAGCUAGUUGAUGAAAUGGAAAAAGUCAAGGAGAUGUUUAUGAAGGAGUUUAAAGAAUUAACUUCCAAGAAUUCAGCAUUAGAAUAUCAGUUGUCAGAAAUCCAGAAGUCCAAUAUGCAAAUCAAGUCCAACAUAGGCACGCUGAGAGAUGCACAUGAGUUUAAAGAAGACCGCCCGAACCCCCAGGAUUUCCAGAAUGUGAUGCAGCUGCUUGACAGCCAGGAAAGCAAGUGGACAGCUCGAGUCCAAGCUCUCCAUCAGGAGCACAAGAAAGAGAAGGGUCGGCUUCUGUCACACAUAGAGAAACUUCGAACCUCAAUGAUAGAUGAUCUAAAUGCAAGUAAUGUUUUCUACAAGAAAAGGAUAGAAGAGCUAGGCCAGAAACUCCAGGAGCAGAACGAGCUGAUUAUCACUCAGAGGCAGCAGAUUAAAGAGUUUACCAGUAAACCAUUAAGCAGUGUCAGUGAAGCCAAAGGGAAUUCUUUAACCUGGCAAGCUUUUGAAUCUAAGUCAGCUGCCCCAGCUGUACCUAUGAAUGCCUCCACCCCUCAGACUCUGGAAGUCAAAUCAAAUCUAACAAUGGCACAUGAACAGGCAUUUUCGUCGCACAUACUGGAACCAAUAGAAGAACUUUCAGAGGAAGAAAAAGGAAGGGAGAGUGAACAGAAAUCAAGUAACAAGAGAAAUUUAAGGAAAGUUUUGAAGAUAAAUCCCUCCCUCACUAAGGAAAUAAAAACAGUCUUGGAGCAGAGCUUGGUGGAGAAACUGGAAACCUUGGGCAUUAAUGCAGACAUACGUGGUAUUCCAAGUGACCACUUGAAUAUUGUGAUGCGAGCUGUGGAAUCAACAAGACAUGAGCGAGAAAGACAAAUACCGAACAUGCAGCAAAUCCGAGAGCGCCUUGAACAUCAGCUCAGCAGUAAAAUUGAAGAGAGAACAUUACUCUCUUCAGAUAAGUACACUGUUUCUCAAAUGGACACGCUUUCAACUGGAGAAGUACCCAAAGCAAUCCAACUUCCUCCCAAAAGCAGACAAUUGGUUAGACAAAGACCUGUUUUUACUGAUAGGACGCCUGUUCCAAAAAUUAAGAAAAAUAUCAUAGAAGACCAUCUUCCCAGAAAGUCUUCAUCUACUUCGACACCUCCCUUCAGUUCAGAGGAGGAGCUGGACGAUGACGGCUUCAUUCAGGCCUAUGUGUCCCCGGAGUUACUUCUGGGACAGUCGUCCAGGAGCAACAAGAGUGGUGUCGGAAAGAACAUCGUCAAAAGUGACACAGACUGGACCGAGGGAAGUGAAAUGGAGGACUCUGAUGUUUCUCCCAAGCCCACAGGAACCUCCAUUAAAACACUAACUGAAAAAGUUGAAAAGAUGGUUUCACAUCACAGAAAUGUGAAUAAGCCAGUUGGUGGGAUUAAUGUUACUGAUGUGUUCAUGAUAAAAGAAGAAUUACAAGAAGAACUGAAGUGUGCAGAUGUGGAUGAUGAUGACUGGGACAUAUCAUCCUUAGAGGAAGAAAAAUCUUUGGGAAAAAAAGCUGGGAAAGAACAGAAGGACCCUCCACUUGUGAAGAAUGAGUCAAAUUCUACUCACGUGCGAAGUGCCUGGGGUGCGCUCUAAGGAACCCAUGGGAGAAGCAGGAUCUUGUGCACCCCCUCUGGGAAAAUGAGCUAUCACCGCCUUGUCCCUCUGCUGCCAUCGACCAAAACGACUUCAAGAAAUGAGUGCUUUAAAAAGCAGCUUAGUAGCUGAGCCUGAUCGGAGUGACUCUUCAAAAGAUUCUCCCAGAAACCAACAGUGUUCAGUGGCGGCCUACACACUUCUAAAGCCCCUGCCUUACAGUGUUUCUCUCAGUAACAAGGAUGCCACCUCAGAGAACAAGGGUCUCUUCAAUAGCACUUAAUACAGUAUUGAAAAACAGUCAGCAGUAUUUUAAAGCAUAGAUAGGUGUUUCACUUCUGCAGCUAAAAAAAUAACAUGCCAUUAAAUUCAGAAAAAGUGUCUUCUUCAGAAUGGUACUCCAGUGUUAAGUGCAUUUUUUCAACUUUUUUUUUAAUGUAUAGCAAAUUUUGGCUUGGAUUAUUACAGCUUUUUUAUAUCUUAUGUAUAUUGUCACAUUGGACACAUUGAUAUUAUAAAACUCAGUUGGACUUUAAAUUGCGUUAGUGAGCAGUAAAAUCUUAAGAGUUAGACUGAUUAUUUGUCAUAUUAGAAGUUUAGAAUGAUAAUAAUAUAGCUAGGCCAAUGUUAAAUACAUCUUCCUGAAUUUCUGGGUCAUAUUCACCUUUGGGUCGCUGUAAGCAUGUUGCCACUAAAUGGUUAUUUUCUGUGCUGUAAUCUUUUAUCCUGGAUAUUUUAUGAAUAUAAUGUAGCUAUUUAAAAUGCCAAUUAAUUUAUCAAUAUGAAUAGCAAAGCGUUACUGACUCACAUGUGUAGGUAGUUUUUCUUCUUUUGGACUUGAAAAAUAUCCAACUCACCUUAUAAAAUACCUCAAAACUAAUUUAGUUAUGUUGUUGAACAAUGACAUUGUUAAAGGCCAAAAGGUUCAUAUGAGAUGUUUUUUGCAUUUUUUAUACUUUGUGGUACUAUCUGUACUUUGUUUCCAAAAAAAGUAACAUUUUAACUAAAUGGUUGAUUGGAUUUUAGAUCUCUUUACAUUUGUCAAGGUUACCAGUAAAGCCCUCUCCAUCACA